RNAcentral lists this long non-coding RNA (3918 nucleotides) under Canis lupus familiaris (dog). Its description in RNAcentral is "lncRNA (ENSCAFG00000057224.1)". Lineage: Eukaryota; Metazoa; Chordata; Mammalia; Carnivora; Canidae. The record is from RNAcentral.
UAUACAGGCAUGACUGAUUAAAUCCUUGUCCAUUACCAAUGAAUUCAACCCCCCAGGCCUUCUCCCCUCCCAACCCUCUCAUCACAAAGUUGGUUCUCCUGGUGACCAGCUCCUAUCCUUAAGUGUGCUCCAAAAGUCAUUUAUCUCAUUAACAUAAUAAAAGAUACUUUUAGAGUUCUUAGCACUUGGGAAAUAUUAAGGCACUCUAUACCAGAAAUGGGGACAAAGAUCAAAUACAUACAUUUCUUAUUAUGAAUCACAAUAUCACACAAACACACUGUGUCCCUAGAGAGGAGUGGAAUAUAUUCCCAAGAGAGCCCUUUUCUCUCUCUGUUCUACACAUUGCUGGAGUAUAAUCGUCUUUUGGAAGUAGCAACAAGGCUGUAAAGCUCUAAGAUAACAUGGCUGGAACUAAGCAAUCUGUCCAGCUUUGUGCGGAGCUGCAGAGAAAACUUAGGCGAUCACAGGACAACCAUACAGUGGCCAAGAACAGCAUUCCAUACUUCAAUAAUCAUGACAAGAUGGAGAGCUGCAGAGAGGAAGCCAGUUAUCACUAUGACACAAUGAACAUCCUGCCCAUAUCUCUAUCAAAUGGCUGUAAACCUGGCAAGCCUAGAAUGCAGAAGAAAAAAAAAAAUCUUUCUUCUCAACUAUAACAUUCAAUCUGUUAAAAUGACUGCUUCCCCCCCACACACACAGAUUCAACCCAUUGUCAUUAUCUUUACAGAACUGAUGAGAUGUUGCCUGCAAUACAGUCACUUUGUAGCAUGACUACAACAUACAUCGACACACUGGCUGCGAUGAAGGUCUCCAAAAGAAACCAUCCUUUUUGGGGAUCCCUGGGUGGCUCAGCGGUUUAGCGCCGCCUUCUGCCCAGGGUGUGAUCCUGGAGACCUGGGAUCGAGUCCCGCAUUGGGCUCCCUGCAUGGAACCUGCUUUUCCCUCUGCCUAUGUCUCUGCCUCUCUCUCUCUGUCUCUCAUGAACAAAUAAAUAAAUAAAAUCUUAAAAAAAAACUGUCCUUUUUUAAAAGCUACAAGAAAUCAAAAAGCAGUUCUACUACAACUAAAUUAUAUAGUCAGAACACUAUCUCCUCUUUUAGAGUUAAGGCAACUAAGAAAGGGAAAAUCUUUACUCUCGAGGAACCAAAUGGCUCCAUCUCCAAAAUAACCUCAAGGAUCCAAACUUGCCAAGAUACUUACGAGGUGAUCUCUCUUUUCUAAAAAGAUAAAAUAAAAAUAAAACAUAGAACAAAUACAUUAAAUGUGCGAUCCUGUUAAAUGUAUAUAGCCAACACACAUUCAUGGCCAUACAUAACUUUAAACCUUUUAACUUUAAAUUCCCUCAUAAAGACAGAAAGGAUUCUAAAAGUAUUCAGAAGAGAAAGCAGUGAAGCCUCAUUCAAAAUCCUAUUUCAUAAAAAAAAAAAAAAAGAAAAAGAAAGACACAGAAUCACUAAUAAGCGAUUUCCACUUUGAAGACUUGGAUCACAAGUUAUUAAGACAGAUCAACCAGCUUAGAUCCCAGUUAUCAAACAUGUUUAAAAUUAAAAAUCAGUUUCAGCAAAAGGAGAGGGCAAAUCCAUAAUGAUAAAAGAUAGGUUUAAGAAAAGGAAUUUUCAUUACUAAAGAAAUCCCUUUUUUUUCUCAUGGCUAAGGCUCAAUCUACUACUUAGCAAAAACACCUAGUGAAAUUAAAAUAACACGUUUAAAAAGAUCUUUAGGAGUUGUAUUUCACGCAAUUCUUUUAGAAACCCAAAGGAAUGGAAAAGAGCUUGCAGGGGGCAGAGGGUGUCACUAUCUACAUGUUCAUCUGGUUUUGUUGUUUGGAUUGAUUGAUCUCAAAAUAACCUUGAACAGCCGUUCAGAGCAAUACCAAGCAUCAAGCUGGUCCCCUUUACUGCAACCUCUUUGUUAAGUAGACUCUCAGCAGCAUAUUAACGUCCACACUAACAAGGAAGACUAACUGGUAAAUUAUGGAUAUAUUUAACUUUUUGCAUUGUAAAAUCAAUACACCACAGAAACAAAUACUACGCAUUCACCUAGCAUCUUGGUUACACAGUAGCUCAGAAAGGAAGUAACUCAGUGAAAAGAACAUGGGCUCUAGUAUCAGAAAGAUUAGGUCCGAACUCCAGCUCUACCACCUUCUGAUUAUGUAACUGGAAGCUACCCAUCUAAACCCUAAAUCUCAGUUUCCUUAGCUGUAAAGGGUAAAUGAGAAGAUCUACUUAAUAGGGUUGGGUAAGAAUUAAAUAAAAUUACGUAUGGAAUUAAAUAAAAUCACGUAUGGAAUGCAGAUAGUACACUGCCUGACACAUUAUAGGUCUCAAAUAUUAUUUACCUUGAAAAUAAUCAUGCCCAUCUCAAACCCCAGAAAGUAUUUCUGAUUUUCAAUUCAUUUACCUAGGAAGAGACGGAACUGAAGCAUAGGUCACUAAGGUCCCUUUCAGAAGUGAUGUGACCCACUGAAGUGCUAGGAUUCCAUGGUAAUAAUGUACAACAGACAUGAUUAUUGUACUGUGAUGGCUACACUCUCCUAUUUUGAACCACAAAUUUACAAACUGAAAGUUCUGAAACUCUUAAAGUGAAGAAAGCACUUUGUCGUAAGUUGCCAUAAAAUAAUUUUCGAGAGGAGCACCUGGCUGGCUCAGUCAGUUGAGCAUUUGACUCUUGAAUGCAGCUCAGGUCAAGAUCUCAGGGUUGUGGGCAGCCCGGGUGGCUCAGCGUGUUGUAAUACUACAGGCUAGAAAUGUGCUAAAGAGUAACUUUAAUUUUCUGGAAGCAGAAUCAUAAAAUGAAGCACCUGUACAAUUUAAAAUAUAGGAAUAGGACUUUCAUUAAAUGAGUACAUUAUCAAAAAUCUACAGUAAACAUUAUACAUAAUGGAGAAACUUUAGAAUCAUUCCCACUAAAGUAAAAAACAAAGAUGUCCUCCAUCCCUGCCUCUAUUCAACAUCAUGCAAAACCCAGUGUGGUAAGAAAAAGAAGUCAAUGGUUCAAGAAGUAGAUAGCAAAAAAACAAGACCAGUCCUGUCCACAGACAGCACGGUUGACUACAUGGAAAAUGCAAAAGUAUCUACAAAUUAUAAGAAUUCAUGAGAGUUCACUGAGGUUCCUGAAUCCAAUGUGUUCCACUGAUAACUAGAAAAUAUAAUUAACCAAAAAAAAAAAAUUCUAUGCACCAUAUCAACACAACUAUAAAUCACCUAAGAAUAAAUACACUAAGAUAUGUCAAAGCUUCUUGUGGAAAAAAAGUUGUAACAUCUCAUUCAAGGAUAUAAAAAAAAAAACUAAAUAAAUGGAAUACUGUGCCAUCAAUGUGGCUAGGAAAACUUAAUGUCAUAAACAAGUCGGGUCUUCUCCCAUUACUUAUAAAUGCAAAUCCAAAUGAAAUCCUUAAGUUUGGGGUUAUUUUUUAGUGUGUGUGUAUUAUUUAACAACCUAUUCCUAAAAUUCACAUGGAUGAAGAACAGUUAAGAAGAGCCAAGACAGUUUUAAAGAAUAACAAAUUGGGAGUCUUGCUUUCUCAUAUAUUAAGACUUAUUAUAUAACUAUAAUAAUUAAAGAGUGUGGUAUUAGUGCAAUUAAAGAUAAUGCAGUGAUUUAAAAAAAAAAGAGAGAGAGACUCCAGAAACAGACCCUUAUGUUUUGAUUAAAUCCAUGGGGAAAGGAUAGCUAAUUCAAUUAAUGAUGCUGGGGCAACCGAUUAGCCAUUUGGAAGAAAGGAAAAUAAAAUCCUGCUUUGGGCUGAAUCAUAUCCUUCUAAAAUUUGUAUGUUGAAGUCCUAGCCCUCAGUGUGGUAGUGUGUGGAGAUGGGGCCUUUGGGAGGUGAUUAGAUUUAGGUAAGUCAUAGGGUGCCCAUGACGGGGUUAUUAGUACCCUCACAAGGAGAGACACCAGGGAGCUACCCAUGUUCUCUCC